Molecule: ribosomal RNA, 456 nt
Filed under: uncultured bacterium
Lineage: Bacteria
Description: bacterial SSU rRNA
Rfam family: Bacterial small subunit ribosomal RNA
Source: RNAcentral
CGAUACGAGUUUGAUCAUGGCUCAGGACGAACGCUGGCGGCAAGCUUAACACAUGCAAGUCGAACGCCCUCUUCGGAGGGAGUGGCAGACGGGUGAGUAACGCGUGGGAACGUGCCUUUUGGUUCGGAACAACUGAGGGAAACUUCAGCUAAAACCGGAUAAGCCCUUCGGGGAAAGUUUACGCCAAAAGAUCGGCCCGCGUUAGAUUAGCUAGUUGGUGGGGUAAUGGCCUACCAAGGCGACGAUCUAUAGCUGUUCUGAGAGGAAGAUCAGCCACACUGGGACUGAGACACGGCCCAGACUCCUACGGGAGGCAGCAGUGGGGAAUAUUGGACAAUGGGCGCAAGCCUGAUCCAGCUAUGCCGCGUGGAUGAAGAAGGCCCUAGGGUUGUAAAGUCCUUUCGCUAGGGAAGAUAAUGACGGUACCUAGUAAAGAAGACCCCGGCUAAUUUCGUG